This 72-nucleotide transfer RNA is filed under the name Camelus bactrianus (Bactrian camel). It matches the Rfam family "tRNA". Rfam says of the family: Transfer RNA (tRNA) molecules are approximately 80 nucleotides in length. Their secondary structure includes four short double-helical elements and three loops (D, anti-codon, and T loops). Further hydrogen bonds mediate the characteristic L-shaped molecular structure. tRNAs have two regions of fundamental functional importance: the anti-codon, which is responsible for specific mRNA codon recognition, and the 3' end, to which the tRNAs corresponding amino acid is attached (by aminoacyl-tRNA synthetases). tRNAs cope with the degeneracy of the genetic code in two manners: having more than one tRNA (with a specific anti-codon) for a particular amino acid; and 'wobble' base-pairing, i.e. permitting non-standard base-pairing at the 3rd anti-codon position. The record is from Rfam by way of RNAcentral. Lineage: Eukaryota; Metazoa; Chordata; Mammalia; Artiodactyla; Camelidae. RNAcentral also lists the same sequence under 1 other name.
GAGGGUAUAGCUCAGUGGUAGAGUAUGUGCUUAGCAUGCAUGAGGUCCUGGGUUCAGUCCCCAAUACCUCCA